Molecule: non-coding RNA, 108 nt
Organism: Acanthosepion pharaonis
Lineage: Eukaryota; Metazoa; Mollusca; Cephalopoda; Sepiida; Sepiidae
Source: the annotation of a GenBank genome assembly
GCCAUGACACGUUAAAACACCAGUUCUCAUCUGACCACCAAAGUUAAGCAACAUUGAGCCUGGUCAGUACUAAGAUGGGUGACCGCUGGGAAUACCAGGUACUGUAAG